GGAGGACGAAUUCAGUGAGACAAAUGGAAAAGCACUCACUGCAAGGACUUCCACUUGGAAAACAAGCAGUCACAAGUCAGGUUUGAUGAAGUGGUUUGUGCUGCUGCCUUCUCUUACUCUGAAAACUCAAGCUGUUAUCUGACCUAUUUCUCCUCAAAGGCAAACCUUCCAUCUGCCAACCCGGCCUCUAUGCUUUUGCAGCAGUUACAGGAAUAACGGAUAUAUGGACCCUGGAGUCACUGCAUUUGUACCAUCUACACUGCUUGAUGCUUGAGAGUUGAGUAGCAGCUCAAGGACCUCACAUCUGAGUGAACUGUAAUGAUAUCUGCCAAGGUCCUGGCUCAGCAGCAGGAAGACACACUUUGCUCUCCAAUUGGGUGGAAAUCAGAACUUCUUACAAGUAACCUCUGCAAAUAUCCAUCAUGCCCC
This is a long non-coding RNA of Neopsephotus bourkii (Bourke's parrot), 429 nucleotides long. RefSeq lists it as uncharacterized. NCBI's taxonomy places the organism in Eukaryota, Metazoa, Chordata, Aves, Psittaciformes, Psittacidae. The transcript has 3 exons. The record is from RefSeq and is a predicted model, not a curated record.